UUUCUUAGGCCAUUUCUCCUUCGUAGGUUGAAAUCAGAUGUUGAAAAAGGUUUGCCUCCCAAAAAGGAAACCAUCCUGAAAGUAGGACUGUCCCAGAUGCAGAAACACUAAUCCAGGGCUUUGCUGCUAAAAGAUCUUGAAGUUGUUAAUGCUGGUGGACAGCUUUAGCAGCUUCUGAACGAUGCGAUGCGGCUCUGUAAAUGCUGUAAUCAUCCAUAUCUUUUCCAAGGUACAAUGUUCUCUUGGACAAAUUACUUCCAAAGCUGAAGGAGCCUGAUUCGAAAGUUCUGAUAUUUUCACAGAUAACAAGGCUGCUGGACAGGAUUGUGCUCAUAGGAUCGGUCAAAUGAAGGAAGUUCAAGCGUUCGGUUUUUGCAAGGAGGUUUGACAAUUGUCUUUGUUUGCCAACGGUCCAGAAGUUGCCUAUGCUCGGAUAGGCUCAUUUGUUCGUUUAUUAUGAAACCGUACACUGUGGACACGUAUUUAGUACCGGGGUAUUUAAAAUUUCUGAACUUGUCGUUUGUUCGCUGAUAAGAAUUGGGCUUAAAAUAAGAGUUUAGAUUGAUCUAUUUAAGUCUGAGUUGUAUUUUUGGGCCAUGAUACUUUGGGGCUUUUUUUUGGGCCAUAUUAUUUUUGAUUGACGAAAAGCUUAAAUUUUUUUUUUUUGAUUUUAUUUCAUUUGUUUCUGUAAAAAUACU
This is a non-coding RNA of Durio zibethinus, 698 nucleotides long. Lineage: Eukaryota; Viridiplantae; Streptophyta; Magnoliopsida; Malvales; Malvaceae. The record is from RefSeq and is a predicted model, not a curated record.